ACUUGUACCGACUGGAUGAGCAGCGAACGGGUGAGUAACGCGUGGGGAAUCUGCCUUUGAGCGGGGGACAACAUUUGGAAACGAAUGCUAAUACCGCAUAAAAACUUUAAACACAAGUUUUAAGUUUGAAAGAUGCAAUUGCAUCACUCAAAGAUGAUCCCGCGUUGUAUUAGCUAGUUGGUGAGGUAAAGGCUCACCAAGGCGAUGAUACAUAGCCGACCUGAGAGGGUGAUCGGCCACAUUGGGACUGAGACACGGCCCAAACUCCUACGGGAGGCAGCAGUAGGGAAUCUUCGGCAAUGGACGAAAGUCUGACCGAGCAACGCCGCGUGAGUGAAGAAGGUUUUCGGAUCGUAAAACUCUGUUGGUAGAGAAGAACGUUGGUGAGAGUGGAAAGCUCAUCAAGUGACGGUAACUACCCAGAAAGGGACGGCUAACUACGUGCCAGCAGCCGCGGUAAUACGUAGGUCCCGAGCGUUGUCCGGAUUUAUUGGGCGUAAAGCGAGCGCAGGUGGUUUAUUAAGUCUGGUGUAAAAGGCAGUGGCUCAACCAUUGUAUGCAUUGGAAACUGGUAGACUUGAGUGCAGGAGAGGAGAGUGGAAUUCCAUGGGUGGGGGG
RNAcentral lists this ribosomal RNA (618 nucleotides) under Lactococcus lactis. RNAcentral describes it as "bacterial SSU rRNA". It matches the Rfam family "Bacterial small subunit ribosomal RNA", at positions 73 to 682 of the family's 1533-position model. The record is from RNAcentral. Lineage: Bacteria; Bacillati; Bacillota; Bacilli; Lactobacillales; Streptococcaceae.